RNAcentral lists this ribosomal RNA (253 nucleotides) under uncultured bacterium. Its description in RNAcentral is "partial 16S ribosomal RNA". It matches the Rfam family "Bacterial small subunit ribosomal RNA", at positions 524 to 776 of the family's 1533-position model. The record is from RNAcentral.
GACGGAGGGUGCAAGCGUUGCUCGGAAUCACUGGGCGUAAAGGGUGCGUAGGUGGUUGGGCAAGUCUGAUGUGAAAUCUCCGGGCUUAACCCGGAAAUGGCAUUGGAAACUGCCCGGCUAGAGUGUUGGAGGGGGGACUGGAAUUCUCGGUGUAGCAGUGAAAUGCGUAGAUAUCGAGAGGAACACCAGUGGCGAAGGCGAGUCCCUGGACAACUACUGACACUGAGGCACGAAAGCUAGGGGAGCAAACAGG